AGUGGACGCUGGCGGUAGGCCUAACACAUGCAAGUCGAACGGCAGCACAGUAAGAGCUUGCUCUUACGGGUGGCGAGUGGCGGACGGGUGAGGAAUACAUCGGAAUCUACUUUUUCGUGGGGGAUAACGUAGGGAAACUUACGCUAAUACCGCAUACGACCUACGGGUGAAAGCAGGGGAUCUUCGGACCUUGCGCGAUUGAAUGAGCCGAUGUCGGAUUAGCUAGUUGGCGGGGUAAAGGCCCACCAAGGCGACGAUCCGUAGCUGAUCUGAGAGGAUGAUCAGCCACACUGGAACUGAGACACGGUCCAGACUCCUACGGGAGGCAGCAGUGGGGAAUAUUGGACAAUGGGCGCAAGCCUGAUCCAGCCAUACCGCGUGGGUGAAGAAGGCCUUCGGGUUGUAAAGCCCUUUUGUUGGGAAAGAAAAGCAGCAGGUUAAUACCCCGCUGUUCUGACGGUACCCAAAGAAUAAGCACCGGCUAACUUCGUG
This 492-nucleotide ribosomal RNA is filed under the name uncultured bacterium. RNAcentral describes it as "partial 16S ribosomal RNA". It matches the Rfam family "Bacterial small subunit ribosomal RNA", at positions 29 to 507 of the family's 1533-position model. The record is from RNAcentral.